This is a long non-coding RNA of Dendronephthya gigantea, 409 nucleotides long. RefSeq lists it as uncharacterized. The record is from RefSeq and is a predicted model, not a curated record. NCBI's taxonomy places the organism in Eukaryota, Metazoa, Cnidaria, Anthozoa, Malacalcyonacea, Nephtheidae. The transcript has 4 exons.
GUCAGAUGAACAUUGGAAGUGAACAAAAUUUCUGCACAGAGAUUUUCCUUGGUCAAAGAGUGCAACAUGAGCUGUGGACAUGAACUUUACUGUCAGAGGAAAAUUGGAAGUGAACAAUAUUUCUACAGAGAGAUUUUCCCUGGUCAAGUAUGCAACAUGAGCCGUGGAUAUGAACUUUACUGUCAGAUGUACAUUGAUUUAAAAAGGGAACAAGUUAUCUGCACUGAGAAUGAAUGAAGUUGAAGAAAGUUGAAAGGCACCCCUGAAGAACCUGAGUUAUUUUAGCCCUAUCCUAGAUUCCUUAAUUAACAUAUUUUCGUGUGUGAUAACAUGUGUGAAAUGUGAUCAAUUAUGUGACAAUUUUCAAAACUUGGAUUUAUAAAGAGAAAUUUUUCUUUGUAAAGUUUAA